RNAcentral lists this unclassified non-coding RNA (520 nucleotides) under uncultured Glomus. RNAcentral's name for it is "SSU rRNA". It matches the Rfam family "Eukaryotic small subunit ribosomal RNA", at positions 569 to 1094 of the family's 1831-position model. Lineage: Eukaryota; Fungi; Glomeromycota; Glomeromycetes; Glomerales; Glomeraceae. The record is from RNAcentral.
AGCAGCCGCGGUAAUUCCAGCUCCAAUAGCGUAUAUUAAAGUUGUUGCAGUUAAAAGCUCGUAGUUGAAUUUCGGGAUCAAUAUAUCGGUCGUGCCUUGGUACGUACUGGUAUCAUUGGUUUCUCCCUUCUGACGAACCAUGAUGUCAUUAAUUUGGUGUUAUGGGAAGUUAGGACUGUUACUUUGAAAAAUUAGAGUGUUUAAAGCAGGCUUUGGCUUGAAUACAUUAGCAUGGAAUAAUGAAAUAGGACGUUCGAACCUAUUUUGUUGGUUUCUAGGAUCAACGUAAUGAUUAAUAGGGAUAGUUGGGGGCAUUAGUAUUCAAUUGUCAGAGGUGAAAUUCUUGGAUUUAUUGAAGACUAACUACUGCGAAAGCAUUUGCCAAGGAUGUUUUCAUUAAUCAAGAACGAAAGUUAGGGAUCGAAGACGAUCAGAUACCGUCGUAGUCUUAACCAUAAACUAUGCCGACUAGGGAUCGGAUGAUGUUAAUUUUUUAAUGACUCAUUCGGCGCCUUACGGG